UGGGCUCAUGCUGUUACCAUUCGUCUUAUUCUUGAAUCUAGUUCAGAUUGGUUUCAUGCUUUUUCCGCACCUAUGAGGCUAUCAUUAGAGGUGGCAAUUUUGAAGAUGGAGUCGUCAUUAUACCUUGCCGGCGAUUUAUAAAGGUGGCAAAAUCUCCAAUGUCGCCACUACUGGCAUUCCCUUUGGAAGUUACUUCAUAAGGUAUAGUAUUGCUUAAUGACGUUGGAGUAGAAAUGAUAGGACCACAAAGUAACGCAAUUGAUCACCAAGUUGCCUGGUAUUUACUACGAGGACCUUUAGCCACAUUUUGUCAAAGUUUCGAUGGGUCAAUGGGGGACGAUAAUGGGUCGGUCAUCCUAAAAAGAAAAAAACCGCCAUAGCAGUACAUUCUUAGCACGGAUCCAGACAAAGAGGAC
Erigeron canadensis is the source of this 416-nucleotide long non-coding RNA. RefSeq lists it as uncharacterized. NCBI's taxonomy places the organism in Eukaryota, Viridiplantae, Streptophyta, Magnoliopsida, Asterales, Asteraceae. The record is from RefSeq and is a predicted model, not a curated record. The transcript is spliced from 4 exons.